Molecule: transfer RNA, 81 nt
Filed under: Aquificota bacterium
Lineage: Bacteria; Pseudomonadati; Aquificota
Also listed under: 1 other name
Description: tRNA-Ser
Rfam family: tRNA
About the family: Transfer RNA (tRNA) molecules are approximately 80 nucleotides in length. Their secondary structure includes four short double-helical elements and three loops (D, anti-codon, and T loops). Further hydrogen bonds mediate the characteristic L-shaped molecular structure. tRNAs have two regions of fundamental functional importance: the anti-codon, which is responsible for specific mRNA codon recognition, and the 3' end, to which the tRNAs corresponding amino acid is attached (by aminoacyl-tRNA synthetases). tRNAs cope with the degeneracy of the genetic code in two manners: having more than one tRNA (with a specific anti-codon) for a particular amino acid; and 'wobble' base-pairing, i.e. permitting non-standard base-pairing at the 3rd anti-codon position.
Source: RNAcentral
GCUGGGUUGGCCGAAUGGCAAGGCGCCAGCCUCGAAAGCUGGUGGGUAAAACCCAUGCAGGUUCGAAUCCUGCACCCAGCG